Long non-coding RNA from Mugil cephalus (flathead mullet), 154 nucleotides. RefSeq lists it as uncharacterized. NCBI's taxonomy places the organism in Eukaryota, Metazoa, Chordata, Actinopteri, Mugiliformes, Mugilidae. The record is from RefSeq and is a predicted model, not a curated record. The transcript is spliced from 2 exons.
AGGAGUGAAGCAGCUGCAUGGUUUUCUGAAGAGUCCAGACUGUAGACUGGAGACUCUGAGUUUAUGGAGCUGCAAUUUGUCAAAAAUCAGCUGUGAUUCUCUGGCCUCAGCUCUGAAGUCCAACCCCUCCCAUCUGAAACAUCUGGACAUGAGU